CACAGCUCUGCACCCUGGCAUCAAUGGGACGCUCAUUCGACAGAUUAGCAGCGAGCUGAAGUGGCGUCUGAAGUUCGCUGUAACUGAGCUCUGAUUCUCUCCCCAGACUCUGGAACGCCUUCUUCACAAUCCGAACAGCUGCUUCAGCAGAGCCAUUUCGAUGGGGUGAAUCAGCCGGCUGGAUUUCCCAAUGCCAGCUGGUUCCAUUUUGAGCUGAAGUUUCCUCCACAGCAGGCCUAUCCAGACCAUCCAGAAACUGAUACAACUCCUCCAGAACAGUAGAGUCGCAGCUGUUCCCUCGUGACCCCUGCUGUGAGCUUCACGAACCAACAAUGUUGAAACCCAGGCACUGUAAGUGAUGACCCCGGCUGAUGAAACUGCCUCCCACUUUGGAGUCCCCAAGAUCCUGCUUUGAGCUGCAAAGCACUUAGCUGCUCUCCAGACCUGGGCAACCGCUUUAACCAGGUGAGUCAGGUUGCUGAACCGUCCUUCAUCCACCAGGUUUCGGACAGAAGCACCAGCAGGUGGUCUCCGACACUCCAGGUCUGGUGGCCCUUUCUUCACCUGAGCUCUUGCGAGUACGGCAGUAAAUGUUUUCUUUUGCAUCUUUCCAACACUCUCUCUGGCAGUUGCGGAUACGUCCUUUGCAGACUUAAUUGGCCACUCAUUUGCUGGUAAACUCAGGAACUGGUGAACCUUCAUCCAAAUCUUUUGGACCAGCCCCACGAGUGAUAAUAUCAGCAAUGUUGAGCGUUCCAGGGAUCCACCACCAAUCCUGACGUUGCGUGC
This is a long non-coding RNA of Gasterosteus aculeatus aculeatus (three-spined stickleback), 789 nucleotides long. Lineage: Eukaryota; Metazoa; Chordata; Actinopteri; Perciformes; Gasterosteidae. The record is from Ensembl.